Transfer RNA from Nadsonia fulvescens var. elongata DSM 6958, 92 nucleotides. It matches the Rfam family "tRNA". From Rfam's summary of the family: Transfer RNA (tRNA) molecules are approximately 80 nucleotides in length. Their secondary structure includes four short double-helical elements and three loops (D, anti-codon, and T loops). Lineage: Eukaryota; Fungi; Ascomycota; Dipodascomycetes; Dipodascales. The record is from Rfam.
UCCGAAAUAGUUUAGUGGCUAGAAUUUGCGCCUGUCAGAUACACGUUUAUAUCAGCACGCGUGGGACCGGGGUUCAAUUCCCCGUUUCGGAG